CGGGACUGUGUGGAUCAUGGCUUUUUAAGUUUGCAGUAGUAAUUAAUUUUCUAAAUUUUUGAUAUGAUUUACUUUUCAAAAUAAUUAAGAAUCAAUUCAUGAUUAUUCCUAUAUUAUUACUCUCAUUCAUAAUGGUUUAAAGAGCUUUCCUUCCAUGGGAGAAAAAGGAUGCUCUAGGGAUUGUGCAUAAUCCCCAUCAUAUCUACUCUACAACUCCGAGUAGUACUGCCCUCACGUGCCUCCUCUUGCCCUGUAAAGUGAGAGAAUGGAAGUAACCAUGAUAUGAACUGGAGAGAAGCAUGACCAAGUGCCAUCAAACUAUGACAGCCCUAUCCUGAAGCCCAUCUGCAUUCUGGAACCCCACAUUGGAGCCUGGCUUGCUUUAAGUUACAA
RNAcentral lists this long non-coding RNA (393 nucleotides) under Vulpes vulpes (red fox). RNAcentral describes it as "lncRNA (ENSVVUG00000024854.1)". The record is from RNAcentral. Lineage: Eukaryota; Metazoa; Chordata; Mammalia; Carnivora; Canidae.